Molecule: ribosomal RNA, 468 nt
Filed under: uncultured bacterium
Lineage: Bacteria
Description: partial 16S ribosomal RNA
Rfam family: Bacterial small subunit ribosomal RNA
Source: RNAcentral
GACGAACGCUGGCGGCGUGCUUAACGCAUGCAAGUCGAACGGAAAGACCCUGCUUGUGUGGGGUGCUCGAGUGGCGAACGGGUGAGUAACACGUGAGUAACCUGCUCUAGACUUUGGGAUAACUUCAGGAAACUGGGGUUAAUACCGGAUAGGAGCCCCUGUUGCAUGGUGGGGGUUGGAAAGUUUCGGCGGUUGGGGAUGGACUCGCGGCUUAUCAGCUUGUUGGUGGGGUAGUGGCUUACCAAGGCUUUGACGGGUAGCCGGCCUGAGAGGGUGACCGGCCACAUUGGGACUGAGAUACGGCCCAGACUCCUACGGGAGGCAGCAGUGGGGAAUAUUGCACAAUGGGCGGAAGCCUGAUGCAGCAACGCCGCGUGCGGGAUGACGGCCUUCGGGUUGUAAACCGCUUUCGCCUGUGACGAAGCGUGAGUGACGGUAAUGGGUAAAGAAGCACCGGCUAACUACGUG